UACCUGCAGCUCAGGUGGUGACCGCUAUUAUUGGGCCUAAAACGUUCGUAGCCGGCUGAGUAAAUGCUUGGGUAAAUCGUGCCGCUUAACGGUACGAAUUCCGGGUAGACUGCUUAGCUUGAGACCGGGAGAAGCUAGAGGUACUCCUGGGGUAGAGGUGAAAUUCUGUAAUCCUGGGGGGACCACCAGUGGCGAAGGCGUCUAGCUAGAACGGGUCUGACGGUGAGGGACGAAACCCUGGGGCGCGAACCGGAUUAGAUACCCGGGUAGUCCUGGGCGCAAACGCUGCUUGCUUGAUGUUAGCUGGGCUCCGAGCUCAGCUAGUGUCGGAGAGAAGUUGUUAAGCAAGCUGCCUGGGAAGUACGAUCGCAAGAUUGAAACUUAAGGAAUUGGCGGGGAGCACAGCAACGGGUGAGCGUGCGGUUU
Molecule: ribosomal RNA, 426 nt
Filed under: uncultured archaeon
Lineage: Archaea
Description: bacterial SSU rRNA
Rfam family: Archaeal small subunit ribosomal RNA
Source: RNAcentral